GAUGAACGCUGGCGGCGUGCCUAAUACAUGCAAGUCGAGCGAACAGAUAAGGAGCUUGCUCCUUUGACGUUAGCGGCGGACGGGUGAGUAACACGUGGGUAACCUACCUAUAAGACUGGGAUAACUUCGGGAAACCGGAGCUAAUACCGGAUAACAUUUGGAACCGCAUGGUUCUAAAGUGAAAGAUGGUUUUGCUAUCACUUAUAGAUGGACCGGCGGCGGAUUAGCUAGUUGGUAAGGUAACGGCCUACCAAGGCGACGAUAAGUAGCCGACCUGAGAGGAUGACCAGCCACACUGGGACUGAGACACGGUCCAGACUCCUACGGGAGGCAGCAGUAGGGAAUCUUCCGCAAUGGGCGAAAGCCUGACGGAGCAACGCCGCGUGAGUGAUGAAGGCUUUCGGCUCGUAAAGCUCUGUUAUUAGGGAAGAACACCUGUGUAAGUAACCGUGCAGGUCUUGACGGUACCUAAUCAGAAAGCCACGGCUAACUACGUG
RNAcentral lists this ribosomal RNA (497 nucleotides) under uncultured bacterium. RNAcentral describes it as "partial 16S ribosomal RNA". It matches the Rfam family "Bacterial small subunit ribosomal RNA", at positions 28 to 507 of the family's 1533-position model. The record is from RNAcentral.